This 253-nucleotide ribosomal RNA is filed under the name uncultured bacterium. RNAcentral's name for it is "partial 16S ribosomal RNA". It matches the Rfam family "Bacterial small subunit ribosomal RNA", at positions 524 to 776 of the family's 1533-position model. The record is from RNAcentral.
UACGGAGGGUGCAAGCGUUAUCCGGAUUCACUGGGUUUAAAGGGUGCGUAGGUGGAAUGGUAAGUCAGUGGUGAAAUCUCCAAGCUUAACUUGGAAACUGCCGUUGAUACUAUCAUUCUUGAAUAUCGUGGAGGUAAGCGGAAUAUGUCGUGUAGCGGUGAAAUGCUUAGAUAUGACAAAGAACACCGAUUGCGAAGGCAGCUUGCUACACGAUCAUUGACACUGAGGCACGAAAGCGUGGGGAUCAAACAGG